GACGAACGCUGGCGGCGUGCUUAACACAUGCAAGUCGAACGAGACGAUUGAAAGCUUGCUUUCGAAAGUCGAGUGGCAAACGGGUGAGUAACGCGUAAACAACCUGCCUUUGAGAUGGGGACAACAGUUCGAAAGGACUGCUAAUACCGAAUGUUGUAUAUUUUCCACAUGGAAGAUAUAUUAAAGAUGGCCUCUAUUUAUAAGCUAUCGCUCAAAGAUGGGUCUGCGUCUGAUUAGCUGGUUGGUGGGGUAACGGCCUACCAAGGCGACGAUCAGGAGCCGGUCUGAGAGGAUGAACGGCCACAUUGGGACUGAGACACGGCCCAGACUCCUACGGGAGGCAGCAGUGGGGAAUCUUCCACAAUGGACGAAAGUCUGAUGGAGCAACGCCGCGUGAGUGAAGAAGGGUUUCGGCUCGUAAAGCUCUGUUGUCGGGGACGAAUGUGCAGUAUUUGAAUAAAGUACUGUAAUGACGGUACCUGACGAGGAAGCCACGGCUAACUACGUGCCAGCCGCCGCGGUAA
This 524-nucleotide ribosomal RNA is filed under the name uncultured bacterium. Its description in RNAcentral is "partial 16S ribosomal RNA". It matches the Rfam family "Bacterial small subunit ribosomal RNA", at positions 28 to 523 of the family's 1533-position model. The record is from RNAcentral.